GGGUUGCAGCGCACAGUUGAGCACAUUGCCUUGACUUCUGUUGCGCAUGCGCGAUGUAAGACAGGAAGAUGGUGGCUACCAGAAGAGGCACGCGUGUGGGGCCGGAGGAAACUGCAGCUGAUUCGGGGGGACAAGAAGAGAUACAAUAAGAAGAAAUAUAGAGAGAUCGUGGCAGAAAAGGCUGCUAUUGCUGAAGGCAAGAAGAACCGGAAGAAGAAGAAGAAAUUCCGAAAAUAACGGCAACAUGUCGGUCGCUCCUGGCUCCUCCUUUAAUUUUGGGAGACUAAUAGGAAGCUGCUUUAUAGUGGGAGGAGCUGGCGAGAUUGUAGGAAUUUGGAUGAUUGUACGUUUAUAAGACUCCAUAGGGAUUGAUUCCUAUACAGAGAGCAACACCUCGCAGAAGGGGCAAAGGAACAUGGAAAGUACCUCAUCUGGAUUUUGGAGGCACAUGUGCUGGCUAUUAGUCACCUUGUCAAUGUCAUUUACAAUUUUACCUAAAUAAAUAUAUAUUUAUAUAGUAUGCACAAAGUAUAUUAACAUUGACUUUCCAAACCGCAGCUAGAUCAAAUCGAAAUAAAUAUCAGGAGAGUUUUCUAUUUC
Molecule: long non-coding RNA, 600 nt
Organism: Xenopus laevis (African clawed frog)
Lineage: Eukaryota; Metazoa; Chordata; Amphibia; Anura; Pipidae
Exons: 2
Source: RefSeq, a predicted model, not a curated record